Molecule: ribosomal RNA, 2423 nt
Filed under: Salmonella enterica subsp. enterica serovar Enteritidis
Lineage: Bacteria; Pseudomonadati; Pseudomonadota; Gammaproteobacteria; Enterobacterales; Enterobacteriaceae
Description: bacterial LSU rRNA
Rfam family: Bacterial large subunit ribosomal RNA
Source: RNAcentral
GGGAGUGAAAAAGAACCUGAAACCGUGUACGUACAAGCCGUGGGAUCACCCUUUGGGUGUUACUGCGUACCUUUUGUAUAAUGGGUCAGCGACUUAUAUUCUGUAGCAAGGUUAACCGAAUAGGGGAGCCGGAGGGAAACCGAGUCUUAACCGGGCGUUAAGUUGCAGGGUAUAGACCCGAAACCCGGUGAUCUAGCCAUGGGCAGGUUGAAGGUUGGGUAACACUAACUGGAGGACCGAACCGACUAAUGUUGAAAAAUUAGCGGAUGACCUGUGGCUGGGGGUGAAAGGCCAAUCAAACCGGGAGAUAGCUGGUUCUCCCCGAAAGCUAUUUAGGUAGCGCCUCGUGAAUUCAUCUCCGGGGGUAGAGCACUGUUUCGGCUAGGGGGCCAUCCCGGCUUACCAACCCGAUGCAAACUGCGAAUACCGGAGAAUGUUAUCACGGGAGACACACGGCGGGUGCUAACGUCCGUCGUGAAGAGGGAAACAACCCAGACCGCCAGCUAAGGUCCCAAAGUCAUGGUUAAGUGGGAAACGAUGUGGGAAGGCCCAGACAGCCAGGAUGUUGGCUUAGAAGCAGCCAUCAUUUAAAGAAAGCGUAAUAGCUCACUGGUCGAGUCGGCCUGCGCGGAAGAUGUAACGGGGCUAAACCAUGCACCGAAGCUGCGGCAGCGACACUGUGUGUUGUUGGGUAGGGGAGCGUUCUGUAAGCCUGUGAAGGUGUGUCGUGAGGCAUGCUGGAGGUAUCAGAAGUGCGAAUGCUGACAUAAGUAACGAUAAAGCGGGUGAAAAGCCCGCUCGCCGGAAGACCAAGGGUUCCUGUCCAACGUUAAUCGGGGCAGGGUGAGUCGACCCCUAAGGCGAGGCCGAAAGGCGUAGUCGAUGGGAAACGGGUUAAUAUUCCCGUACUUGGUGUUACUGCGAAGGGGGGACGGAGAAGGCUAUGUUGGCCGGGCGACGGUUGUCCCGGUUUAAGCGUGUAGGUGUGUGUUCCAGGUAAAUCCGGUUCACUUUAACACUGAGGCGUGACGACGAGGCACUACGGUGCUGAAGCAACAAAUGCCCUGCUUCCAGGAAAAGCCUCUAAGCAUCAGGUAACAUCAAAUCGUACCCCAAACCGACACAGGUGGUCAGGUAGAGAAUACCAAGGCGCUUGAGAGAACUCGGGUGAAGGAACUAGGCAAAAUGGUGCCGUAACUUCGGGAGAAGGCACGCUGACACGUAGGUGAAGUGAUUUACUCAUGGAGCUGAAGUCAGUCGAAGAUACCAGCUGGCUGCAACUGUUUAUUAAAAACACAGCACUGUGCAAACACGAAAGUGGACGUAUACGGUGUGACGCCUGCCCGGUGCCGGAAGGUUAAUUGAUGGGGUCAGCGCAAGCGAAGCUCCUGAUCGAAGCCCCGGUAAACGGCGGCCGUAACUAUAACGGUCCUAAGGUAGCGAAAUUCCUUGUCGGGUAAGUUCCGACCUGCACGAAUGGCGUAAUGAUGGCCAGGCUGUCUCCACCCGAGACUCAGUGAAAUUGAACUCGCUGUGAAGAUGCAGUGUACCCGCGGCAAGACGGAAAGACCCCGUGAACCUUUACUAUAGCUUGACACUGAACAUUGAGCCUUGAUGUGUAGGAUAGGUGGGAGGCUUUGAAGUGUGGACGCCAGUCUGCAUGGAGCCGACCUUGAAAUACCACCCUUUAAUGUUUGAUGUUCUAACGUGGACCCGUUACCCGGGUUGCGGACAGUGUCUGGUGGGUAGUUUGACUGGGGCGGUCUCCUCCUAAAGAGUAACGGAGGAGCACGAAGGUUGGCUAAUCCUGGUCGGACAUCAGGAGGUUAGUGCAAUGGCAUAAGCCAGCUUGACUGCGAGCGUGACGGCGCGAGCAGGUGCGAAAGCAGGUCAUAGUGAUCCGGUGGUUCUGAAUGGAAGGGCCAUCGCUCAACGGAUAAAAGGUACUCCGGGGAUAACAGGCUGAUACCGCCCAAGAGUUCAUAUCGACGGCGGUGUUUGGCACCUCGAUGUCGGCUCAUCACAUCCUGGGGCUGAAGUAGGUCCCAAGGGUAUGGCUGUUCGCCAUUUAAAGUGGUACGCGAGCUGGGUUUAGAACGUCGUGAGACAGUUCGGUCCCUAUCUGCCGUGGGCGCUGGAGAACUGAGGGGGGCUGCUCCUAGUACGAGAGGACCGGAGUGGACGCAUCACUGGUGUUCGGGUUGUCAUGCCAAUGGCACUGCCCGGUAGCUAAAUGCGGAAGAGAUAAGUGCUGAAAGCAUCUAAGCACGAAACUUGCCCCGAGAUGAGUUCUCCCUGAGACUUAGAGUCUCCUGAAGGAACGUUGAAGACGACGACGUUGAUAGGCCGGGUGUGUAAGCGCAGCGAUGCGUUGAGCUAACCGGUACUAAUGAACCGUGAGGCUUAACCUUACAACGCCGAAG